Molecule: ribosomal RNA, 281 nt
Filed under: uncultured bacterium
Lineage: Bacteria
Description: partial 16S ribosomal RNA
Rfam family: Bacterial small subunit ribosomal RNA
Source: RNAcentral
AACGAACGCUGGCGGCAGGCUUAACACAUGCAAGUCGAACGAACUGAGUCCUUCGGGACUCUAUGUUAGUGGCGCACGGGUGAGUAACGCGUGGGAACGUACCCUUUAGUACGGAAUAACCCAGGGAAACUUGGGCUAAUACCGUAUGACUCCUUCGGGAGAAAGAUUUAUCGCUAAAGGAGUCCGGCCCGCGUCAGAUUAGGUAGUUGGUGAGUAUGCUCACCAAGCCGACGAUCUGUAGCNGGUUCUGAGAGGAUGAUCAGCCACACUGGGACUGAGAC